GAAUUUCGAGCUGAGGCUCUGGGUCCACCUCCCACCCGUGUCUGUCGUACCUUGUUGCUUCGGCGGGCCCGCCGUUUCGACGGCCGCCGGGGAGGCCUUGCGCCCCCGGGCCCGCGCCCGCCGAAGACCCCAACAUGAACGCUGUUCUGAAAGUAUGCAGUCUGAGUUGAUUAUCGUAAUCAGUUAAAACUUUCAACAACGGAUCUCUUGGUUCCGGCAUCGAUGAAGAACGCAGCGAAAUGCGAUAAGUAAUGUGAAUUGCAGAAUUCAGUGAAUCAUCGAGUCUUUGAACGCACAUUGCGCCCCCUGGUAUUCCGGGGGGCAUGCCUGUCCGAGCGUCAUUGCUGCCCUCAAGCACGGCUUGUGUGUUGGGCCCCCGUCCCCCUCUCCCGGGGGACGGGCCCGAAAGGCAGCGGCGGCACCGCGUCCGGUCCUCGAGCGUAUGGGGCUUUGUCACCUGCUCUGUAGGCCCGGCCGGCGCCAGCCGACACCCAACUUUAUUUUUCUAAGGUUGACCUCGGAUCAGGUAGGGAUACCCGCUGAACUUAAGCAUAUCAUAAAGCCCGGAAGGAAA
RNAcentral lists this ribosomal RNA (574 nucleotides) under Aspergillus fumigatus. Its description in RNAcentral is "eukaryotic LSU rRNA". The stretch from base 188 to 341 matches the Rfam family "5.8S ribosomal RNA". Lineage: Eukaryota; Fungi; Ascomycota; Eurotiomycetes; Eurotiales; Aspergillaceae. The record is from RNAcentral.